RNAcentral lists this ribosomal RNA (765 nucleotides) under Triticum aestivum (bread wheat). RNAcentral describes it as "partial small subunit ribosomal RNA". The record is from RNAcentral. Lineage: Eukaryota; Viridiplantae; Streptophyta; Magnoliopsida; Poales; Poaceae.
AUGGAUGGGUCAGCUGCUUUGCGGCCAUUGCUAUGCUGGCACGACCUCCUCGGGUGGAACGUGCGCCGCGCGCGCGAGCAGAGCGCGCACGCACGCACGCCACCGUCUGGCGACGAUGGGCGCACGCGGCCGCGGCACAUAGGUUCGCGCGCGCUGUGGACAACCGGGCUUCACUUCCCCGCAGUCUCCUCCAUGUCCAUGCCCGAGCACGAGCACGGUUACUCCCCCGCAGUCUCCUCCCCGUCCUCCGCCUCGGCGCCCUCAUCCUCGUCCCUCCUCCCGGACUUCCCCGGCGGUGGCAGCUGGUUCGCGUCCACGGCCUCCCCGCCGACGGGAUCGCUCGCCUGCGACUCCGUCGCGCCGUCCACACCCGUGGGCGCCGCGACGAACAAGAGGCGGGUGGGCCUGGGGCCCAACGCAGCGGUCGCCGGGCGGGUCGGGAAGCGUCGGGCGAGGCCGUCGAAGCGCGCGCCGACCACGUACAUCAGCACCGACGCCGUCAACUUCCGACUCAUGGUGCAGCACGUCACGGGCGCCCAGGCCGAGCCCACGGCAGACGGCGCACUCCUGCCCGCGUCGUUCGACGCGUCCUCCGCCUCGGCGCUGCUGGGCGGCCUCCCUUUCGACGGCGCGUUCGGGGACGCGCUGCGGCUGCCGUCGGACGUCGACGCGGAGGCGCUCCAUCGCCACCACCACCAGCAGCAGCACGCGUGCUACCCGACGCUGGACUCGUGGAGCGUCAUGUGCGAGAGCAGUCAGCUAUAA